This 1219-nucleotide long non-coding RNA is filed under the name Salvia miltiorrhiza (redroot sage). RNAcentral's name for it is "long non-coding RNA (SMIL_LNC010551)". Lineage: Eukaryota; Viridiplantae; Streptophyta; Magnoliopsida; Lamiales; Lamiaceae. The record is from RNAcentral.
GAUUUUAUCAAAUAUAUCCCACAUCUAUUUUUCGAUCGCCAGAAAUGUGACGUGGCUCGCCGGAUGUCAAAGUGUAAUUUAUAUUUUAUUUUUUUUAAUCCAUGUCAUUUUAUAUUCUAUUUUUUUAAUCUAUGUCAUUUUAUAUUCCUUAAUUCUAGAAUUUGCUGUCGGCCCUAAGGAUCCCCAAUUCAGAAUUUAACUCAUGACUCCGGCUGAGAAAAGGGAAAAUGGGGACUUCAUCGUCAAGAUUACCGCAAAAUUCUCCCAAAAUUCAAUCCAUCACCAUCUCCGAUGAAGUCAUCAAAAUCUAACCUCAAGAAAAAAUUUCAAGCGGUGACAGAUCCAUCAUUCCUCUCUCUACAGCCAACAAUAAUCUCACGUAUUAUUCUCGCUAAUCUUGGUGAAAGAGCAGCUUCACCAGCAAUUUCUUGCCAAUCUAAAUCCACGGCGAAACCCUCUCGCCAAUCUAAAUUCACGAGCAAUUUCUCGUCAAUCCCGACACGGUUCGCCGCGGGUCACCCACAGUAACACCGAUACACACGCACAGACGGGGAAGCCCUAUAUUUCUUCAUAGAAUCGUGCCGCCUCUAUGUAAUUUCCGGCGAGCAGCACAACCCAAAAGUCAUCACCGCCGCAAUCGUUCUGUUCUCGGUUGAUGUUGCCUUGUCAUUCGGUUGACGGCUCCACCGCGGGUCAGAGGCGCGACUUGGCUGGGAAGCCUAUCGCCGCAUUCCUCCAUCCUCUCGCUCAUUACCAAGUGUCGGCGAGGGGUUUUUCUAAUUCGAUGGGGAAGGUUUUAGUUUUGUUUGCUUAUUUUACUUAUAAUUUCCUAUAAUUUAGUUCAAUCUUGUGUAAAGACAUACUACCAAUGCUGAGCAGGGGUUGAUUAAUUGAGGGACUUUUUGAUGGAGAAAGUAGACGAUGAAGCAUUGUCGGGGUGCGAUAUCGGCGUGGCGUUGCUCUGCUCUGUGAUAGGGGCCGGGGCGACAAGACAAGGGUGGUUCAGCCCGAUACAGGGCAGAAAAUGACAUAGAUUAAGAAAGUAGAAUAUAAAAUGACAUGGAUUUUAAAAAAUAGAAUUAAAUUACAUUGUGGCAUCCAACAAGCCACGUCACAUUUCUGGUGAUCGGAAAAUAGAUGCGGGAUAUAUUUGAUAAAACUCUGAUACUUUGAGAGUUUAGAGAACAUUUCGAAACUUUCAUGAUAUUUUUGAUAAAGC